This 848-nucleotide small RNA is filed under the name Pongo abelii (Sumatran orangutan). RNAcentral's name for it is "processed transcript". The record is from RNAcentral. Lineage: Eukaryota; Metazoa; Chordata; Mammalia; Primates; Hominidae.
GCAGGAAGGAUGGCGGCUGGAACAUGAGAAUCCGAGAGACCCCCAGACACCCUUGGUCUUUAAAGGAGUCGUCUUUAAUGAGAUGAAGGGAGCGUUUACAGACAAUGAGAGGAUAUUCUCCCAGCACCUUCAGAACAGACUUCUUCCCGACCACACGUACUCAGUGGUCUCCGGGGGCGACCCACUUUGCAUCCUGGAGCUUACAUGGGAGCAGCUUAAGCAGUUUCAUGCCACUCACUAUCACCCAAGCAAUGCUAGGUAAUAUUUUGUUGGAAAAGUUUGAUGGUGGAUUGUGAAAAGUUGACUUGUUUGUGUUCUUACAGCUUCAUGACAUGGCUUCUCUCAUUUAGCAAUGCUUAAGAAAUAUCUAAGUGUAGGUAAGAUUCUUGGCCUAAGUUUGCCUAUCUUAUUGGACAUUGAUUUUGGACAUUUACAAUGAUAGCCUUCAGUAGGCUCAGUAUGGUGGUUACAAACACAGCAUUUAGAGUCCCCCAGAGGAGGGUCCUGGCCCCGCAGCCUCUUGCCUCACAUCCAGCUUGGUUGCGUGGAGAGUGGGGGUACAUGGAUGGUGCCCACCUUGGCACGGGGUGUGAAGCUUCAAGCCCUCUCCUUGGCACGGAGAAGUGCUCUUCCAAUAGUGGAUGCAGUUACUGAACCUUAAUUACAUCCUCACUUUCUGAUACAUUGCUUGUUCUUAUGUCACUAAUAUAAGGUCAUUAUAAUAAUAAUGCAGUUAUAUAUCUUAUAUAAAACACUAAUUGUAUUUACAUGUAAAUGCUAAUGUAAAAAUAUAUUUGCAAGAUUAUUUUAUGUAAAAAUAAUUAUGAAAAUUUGAAGCAUACAGAAAA